GAAAUGGAAAUAGAGAGGUGAUGAAAGAGAGAGAGAGGCGACAAGGAAACGGGGAAAGAAGCGGAGAAAGAAAGAGGCGUUGAAAUAGAGGAUGAGGGCUAGGACACGGAGAAAGAAACAGAGAAAGGCGAUGAACUCUGCAUCGAUUCUACCACGUUUAUGGUUUAAUCCAACCAAAAUCCCGAUCAUUACAACAUUUGAAAGCCCGAUUUACACAUAAAACCCAAAACCUACCCUCUCCCGAUAAACCUUUUCUCCUUCUUUGCCACUUCCUCCGUGUUGAAGCCGUUUUCUCUGCCUCUCUCAAUUCUCAAAACCCCUAAACCAUAGCCCAUCGCCACUCUUUCACUCCUUCAGCAUCCCACCACCAUCAUAUACCGUUUAGAACAACUAUCAAAAGAUGUGCCUAAGAUUCAUUAAAAACAAGCAAAACCAGUCGUUCUACCAUUUUUUUUUACUGUUUGGAAAAAAAAACUCUCAUGCAGGGGAAGAUAGAGAGAGGCCGAAAACCACUACCGAUGAGUUUUUAUCUUCAAUUGAAGUUUGUUUAUUAAUUAUGAUUAGGUUUUGAUAUUUUGUUUGGAUUGGUUUCGAUUUUGGUAUUCAAAUUAAGUUUUUCUCUUCUCUUUUUAGUUUGACAUUUUUUAUCAGGCUUUGAUAUUUGUUUUGGUCUUUAGGUUAUAUUUGGUUCUCAUUAUGGUAUUUGAGUUAUAAGUGGUUCUGUUUUGAUUAUUUGGGUUAAAUUUGUUCAUGUUUAUUUAUCUACAGUUUCUAGGUUAAAACGUAGUUUUUUUUCGAAUAGUUUCUAGACAAAGAUAUAAGUUUUACAAGUCAAGUGGGAAUAAAAAAGUAAAUUGGACCUUUUUCCUUAUCUAUGUCUUAUAAAGAAUAAGAUGAUGAAUUCAAAGAAUAGGUAUGAGUCAGUUGAGUUCAUUUUUCCCCCCAAUUAAUUACGCAUGCUCUCUUUAUUUCAAUCAAUUUGGUUCCUUACCUUUAUAUCUGCAUCUCUAUUCCUUUUACAUUUCAAAAUCAAUUUCUCUAUGCUUGAAAUUUGCAUAUUUUUUUAACAUUAAUUCUUCUAGAAUUAAUAUUUGUCAUUGCUCAUUCUCUACCCUAUUGCCUCCCUUCUAAUUGCCAUAUGCUCUAUGCGUACUUUGCCCCCAUCCUUGCUACUUUGAUCGUUAUUCCUACCCCCAUCCCUUCUCUGCAGUAGUAUAUCUGGAAGGUAAGCACACUCUUUCCCACUUCAACCACUAUUUUCAAUUCCUGUAACUUCCCACUGGUGCUUUUCCUAUUUGAAUUUCUAUAUUUAAACUUUUCUCCUCCUGCUGAAUUGUUUAGGGUUUUCCUUUGAUUCCUAUUGAAGGAUAGAUUGGUUUAUUCUCUUUGUUUGGAUGUUUUGUCUCAAAUUAUCGUAUAUUUAUUUUGGUUUGGGUAACAUUAGGGAUUUUCGCUCUUGGGUAACUUUAGGGAUUUUCACCUUUACUGCUUUCAAAUCUGACACUUUACAAUGUAGGAUAAUUUAUAAAUUUUUCUAAGUGAAAUUAUGGUUUGCUGGAUUAUUUUCUAUGUUUUUGAAUUAGGGAUUUUUGCUCUUGAUUUAAAUAGUUAACUUUCACCUUUGCUGCUUUUAAAUCUAAUAGUUUAUGGUCUCUGUAUUUUGGUUUAGGUAACACUAGGGAUUUUGAUUCCUGAUUUUAAUAGUCAUCUUUCACCUUUGUUGCUUUUAGAUUUCACAGUUUACAAUGUAAGGAUAAUUUAUAAUUUUUUUAGAGUGAAAUUAUGGUUUCUUGGAUUAUUUGCUGUGUUUUUUAAAUAGAAAUAAACUGUUAGUUUUUAGACCCCUUAAAAACACAAUUAGAUUAACCUAGGUAAUUAGCCAAGUGAUUACUUUGUCCAAAUUACAAGUCUAGGUUAUCACAAUCAAACAAUCAUAUCAUGCAUAGCAGCGGAAAGAUAAAUAACACAACGAUAUGAUAACCCAGGAAAACCAAACUGGUAAAAAACCUAGGGAGGAUUUAACCUAUCUAUCCUCAAGGUAAAAGGCAAAUCCACUAGAAAGAAUCUAAGUUCAUACAAUAAGACUUACAAGCCCCCACGCUCGACUUCUUAUUGCUACCAACCAGUAGAACUUACUGACACAACCACAUGCAAGCUCCGAAUCCACGGACUCCUUCUUUCUUGGAUUCACCACCAAAUACAAGCACACCCGCUUGUGUUUUCUUUAAGCUUCAAUGGCAGCAACCGAGUUGAUCAUCAAGGUGUAGAUAAAUCUUUUUCUUGAAAACCCUAAGUUUGUGUAAAGGAAAGCUCCUCUAGAUCUCACAAGAGAUUUACACAAACCGCAAUAUGAGCAACACUAAAACGUGGCUAGGGUUUGUCUUUUAUACUUAGGACAAAUUAGAAAACCCUAAAAUGUUUUAAAACAACUAGGGCUGAGUUAGAAAAUCUGUAGAAAAAAACAUUCUGCCCGAGCUUCAAUCGAUCGAGCCAGGCCGAAAUGCAUAAAACUUUUCUACAUUAGCUCAAUUCCAACUUUACGAAAAUGCACAACUUUGAGCAAGACUAAAACACUUCUAAACACAUUGUUUUGAUCAUGGUUUGCCAACAAUACAUAUUAUAGUUCUAAAUACAUAAAUACCUAAGUCUUUAGAACCUAACAUAAACAAAUAAAUAACCAAGAAUACUGUGUUAUUGAAUAUUAAGGGAUUAUUUCUGAAAUAUGGCUGUAUGGUUUACAUUUUAAUUCGUAGAUUCAGAUUUUGUUGAAUUGUUGCACUACCUUUUAUAUGGAAACACACUUUCACAUAUUUACAAUAUCCAUACCAUUUACAAUAUUUUCUUUAGCUUCUUCUGUUGUCUCUCUAUCAUCUUUCUUUCCUGUAUUGUGACAAAGGUUCUAAUAGAUGGCUUUAGCAAGCUUGGUUUAGAAGGAAAGCUUAUACUUAAUUUUUAUAAGGUGAAGUUGUAACUAACUUAUAUCUUCUGCUUGAGGUACAUGGUGCUUUGUAAGGAGCUAACUUACUAAAAGCAAGACAUUGAAUUUGUAAAGGAGUUUUUAAAGUAAAGUUCAAAACUUAGUUUUUAACUAAGAUCCUUGCAAGAUUUUUCUUUGAGACUGCUCUUGAAAUUCCAAUGUCUCUUUAGUUUCACAAGUUUACAUAAUUUAUGGUAAUUUUUGAUGGAUCAAACCCUUCUUUUGUAGUCUCUCUUUCAUCUUUCUCUCCUGUAAUUUGAAAAACCUUCUGACCCUAUCAUUUUGUUGAAAUAUAGGUUUGCCUAGUUCUUUGCCAAUCACAAAACUUGGGUAAUUUGCAAGAAGAGUUGCUGGAACAAAUUGAUAGGGAUAAGUAAAUUAGGAACAAUGGGCAUUUUGUUCUUUGAAACUUAUUUCUCUACAUCUUGCCAUCCUAUAUCUAUGGUUGGAUGCUUCUUUGCAGAACUAUCAGAUAUUGAUAUGGAGAACCUAAAGGCAAAUGUCUUUCAUUUAUUAGAAAUUGAUAUUUUUAACAUUUAUUAGAUAUCUGAGAUGUUAAGGAUUGGAAUCCUAUUUUAAUUUUAAUUUAAUUUGAUUGAUAUUUUACGUUUACUAAUGUAAUGUUUCCUAUGAAGGAUAGGAAUUCCUAAGAUUGAAAUCCUAAUGUACAAUUAAAGAGAAAGAAGCAAAGAAUUGUUUAAAUCUUCAUACGCAAAGAUAUAGUCUGGAAGGCACAGAGAGACAGGCGGCAUACCCAUUACCGCAUAAUCGAAACAAAGGACGAGCUGUUCCUUCUAGAGCUUAUCAGG
Molecule: long non-coding RNA, 3786 nt
Organism: Quercus robur (English oak)
Lineage: Eukaryota; Viridiplantae; Streptophyta; Magnoliopsida; Fagales; Fagaceae
Exons: 4
Source: RefSeq, a predicted model, not a curated record